GCAGAAUACACCAAGACGCCCCCCUCGCAUGGAUGUGUCAAUGAUCACCCCAGAAUCCGCCACAAGCUGGGGUCCCUCAUAGAGCUUCACCCUGUCCAGGAUUCCAGGAUAGGAGUAUCCAUUGGUGCUAGGGUGCCAGUGGGCACUGUGCCACCAUGCCUGGGGCCUUGCUUUUCCCCAGCCCCCCUUGAGCUCACCAGGCCUGAGAGAGAAGGGAGGGAGGGAAAGGGAGGCAGGAAGGAGAGGGAAGGGGGGUGCUUUUCUCAGGCCUGGGGCCCCUAGCUCUUUGUCCAGCUCCUUUUGCAUCUCAAAGCACCAGCCGCAUUCCAAGCGAGGAUUGGGUUGCCAUGACAAUAAGCACAAUGGGCUGGGGGGUGAAGUCACCCGCUUCCCAGGCUCUAGUCCACCCCCUUUUAUCCCCUGUCCUGGCACCCCACAGCCCCAGGCACCUUAAAGGGGAACCAACCCAGGUUCCUGGACUCUGGGCUCUUGGCCAUGGAAAGUCCAGCCUCUAAGCAGACCCAUUUCCCCUCCCUUCCUGUUCAUCUCCACCAACUAGGGCUACUUGUUGGAGAGAAAUGCAAAGUUGUGGACAAAGUGUUGAACCGAGGCCUGUGAAGUCAGGGCCUUGAUUUUCUCUUCUGUAAAUGAUGAUGCCUUCCAGGUCAGAUGAUCCCUAUCCACGUUGAUAAGACAGGUUCCAGGUCAUACCAACUAAGGGACCAGAUGUGAUGUGCCCCUUCACAGAUUGGCCUGGGUUUGGAGGCUUCUGGAGAACUGUAAAGGGCAUCUAACCCAAUGCCCUCAUUUUACAGACGGGAAAAUGGGUCAUGGAGGAGUGACUUCACCAACAUCACUCAUAGGUGCUUGUGUCCGUGGUGAGAAGGGUGAUGGAGAGAAGUGGCUGCAGUUCCCACCCAUGGAGAGGUCACUGGUGAAUCCCAGCUAAAGAGGAAGGACAGGCCCGGCCUGAGUCCCACAGGUGGGCUCAGCCCCUCUCCUUACCGAAUGUAGCCAACUUGAGGCCGGUGCAGAAGCUGCCAGCGAUAGGAGGUGCUCACCUGGGCCAGACACUGAUGUCACUGCCUAGGAGACAUUGGCAAAGACAGUGGGUCAACUGCAGAACUGGAGUGAGGGGAGACAACAGGUCGGUAAGUGCAGGUGGGAAAGGGAUUCAAGGCGGUCAUGAAAAUGCCCUGGGGCCCCAGAGAGCCGGCCUCCAAGCCAGAUGUCUGGGUAAGAGGGUUCCCAGUCAAGCAGUGGGGGAGGCCCUGGGGCUGCAGAGGAGAGCUUUGGGAAAGGGCCCUGGGUUGCGGAAUCUGAGCAGCUGGGGACCUU
RNAcentral lists this long non-coding RNA (1338 nucleotides) under Homo sapiens (human). Its description in RNAcentral is "HSALNT0295930". Lineage: Eukaryota; Metazoa; Chordata; Mammalia; Primates; Hominidae. The record is from RNAcentral.